Potamilus streckersoni is the source of this 69-nucleotide non-coding RNA. Lineage: Eukaryota; Metazoa; Mollusca; Bivalvia; Unionida; Unionidae. The record is from the annotation of a GenBank genome assembly.
GGGUGGCAUAGAUGUUAGAGCGUCCGCUUGGGAUGCGGUAGGUCGUGGGUUCGAUCCCCGGUCGAUUCA